AAGGUUGACCUCGGAUCAGGUAGGAAUACCCGCUGAACUUAAGCAUAUCAAUAAGCGGAGGAAAAGAAACCAACAGGGAUUGCCUUAGUAGCGGCGAGCGAAGCGGCAACAGCUCAAAUUUGAAAUCUGGCUACUUUGUAGUCCGAGUUGUAAUUUGCAGAGGAUGCUUUUGGUGAGGUGCCUUCCGAGUUCCCUGGAACGGGACGCCAGAGAGGGUGAGAGCCCCGUACGGUUGGACACCAAGCCUUUGUAUAGCUCCUUCAACG
RNAcentral lists this ribosomal RNA (266 nucleotides) under Endoconidiophora pinicola. Its description in RNAcentral is "partial 26S ribosomal RNA". It matches the Rfam family "Eukaryotic large subunit ribosomal RNA", at positions 1 to 262 of the family's 3401-position model. The record is from RNAcentral. Lineage: Eukaryota; Fungi; Ascomycota; Sordariomycetes; Microascales; Ceratocystidaceae.